Aethina tumida (small hive beetle) is the source of this 397-nucleotide long non-coding RNA. RefSeq lists it as uncharacterized. Lineage: Eukaryota; Metazoa; Arthropoda; Insecta; Coleoptera; Nitidulidae. The record is from RefSeq and is a predicted model, not a curated record. The transcript has 3 exons.
AACAAUAAUUCAUUCAAUCCCCACGCAGCAAAGAUUGUUGUCAGUAUUAUUAUAUGUUAUGGGUAAUAUUAUACAAAAAAUUAAGAAUAUUUUCCCUUCUCUAAUAAUGCGAGCUCCUCCAGUAAGGAUGCCAACUGAAAAUGAUACCAAAGAGGACGAAAUAUUUCAAAAUGCUAUAGACCGCAUGAAUGCCUAUAAAAAGUUGUACGAUCCUCCGAUCCGUAAGAUUACCGUUGAUGAUUUUUUAAAAUGGGUCAUUAAGGAAUAUCCAGUUGUUAGAGGCAAUAUUGAUGACUUCCAUCUGGAUGAACCGGAUGAGCUAAAAAAUAACUAUAAGAAAGAUGUCAUGUCCGUAAUUUUGAAAAAAAAAUAUUGAAUAAAUAAAAAAACAGUAAUU